CCUACGGGGGGCAGCAGUAGGGAAUCUUCCACAAUGGACGAAAGUCUGAUGGAGCAACGCCGCGUGAGCGAAGAAGGUUUUCGGAUCGUAAAGCUCUGUUGCUGGAGAAGAACGAGUGCGAGAGGAAAUGCUCGUACUGUGACGGUAUCCAGCCAGAAAGCCACGGCUAACUACGUGCCAGCAGCCGCGGUAAUACGUAGGUGGCAAGCGUUGUCCGGAAUUAUUGGGCGUAAAGCGCGCGCAGGCGGCUUCUUAAGUCUGAUGUGAAAUCUUGCGGCUCAACCGCAAACGGUCAUUGGAAACUGGGAAGCUUGAGUGCAGAAGAGGAGAGUAGAAUUCCACGUGUAGCGGUGAAAUGCGUAGAUAUGUGGAGGAAUACCAGUGGCGAAGGCGGCUCUCUGGUCUGUAACUGACGCUGAGGCGCGAAAGCGUGGGGAGCAAACAGGAUUAGAUACCCUAGUAGUC
RNAcentral lists this ribosomal RNA (465 nucleotides) under uncultured Sporolactobacillus sp. RNAcentral describes it as "bacterial SSU rRNA". It matches the Rfam family "Bacterial small subunit ribosomal RNA", at positions 338 to 795 of the family's 1533-position model. Lineage: Bacteria; Bacillati; Bacillota; Bacilli; Caryophanales; Sporolactobacillaceae. The record is from RNAcentral.